Molecule: ribosomal RNA, 497 nt
Filed under: uncultured bacterium
Lineage: Bacteria
Description: partial 16S ribosomal RNA
Rfam family: Bacterial small subunit ribosomal RNA
Source: RNAcentral
GAUGAACGCUGGCGGCGUGCCUAAUACAUGCAAGUCGAGCGAACAGACGAGGAGCUCGCUCCUCUGACGUUAGCGGCGGACGGGUGAGUAACACGUGGAUAACCUACCUAUAAGACUGGGAUAACUUCGGGAAACCGGAGCUAAUACCGGAUAAUAUAUUGAACCGCAUGGUUCAAUAGUGAAAGACGGUUUUGCUGUCACUUAUAGAUGGAUCCGCGCCGCAUUAGCUAGUUGGUAAGGUAACGGGUUACCAAGGCAACGAUGCGUAGCCGACCUGAGAGGGUGAUCGGCCACACUGGAACUGAGACACGGUCCAGACUCCUACGGGAGGCAGCAGUAGGGAAUCUUCCGCAAUGGGCGAAAGCCUGACGGAGCAACGCCGCGUGAGUGAUGAAGGUCUUCGGAUCGUAAAACUCUGUUAUUAGGGAAGAACAAAUGUGUAAGUAACUAUGCACGUCUUGACGGUACCUAAUCAGAAAGCCACGGCUAACUACGUG